CUUUACUGUAACCUGGAAUUGGGUUCGGGCUUUGCUUGCGCAGGAUAGGUGGGAGGCGUUGAGAUAUUCCUUGUGGGGAAUGUGGAGCCAACGGUGAGAUACCACUCUGGUGAGGCUAGAAUUCUAACCCGAUGCCGUGAACCGGCUCGGGAACAGUUUCAGGCGGGCAGUUUGACUGGGGCGGUCGCCUCCUAAAAGGUAACGGAGGCGCGCAAAGGUUCUCUCAGGCUGGUUGGAAAUCAGCCGUAGAGUGUAAAGGCAUAAGAGAGCUUGACUGCGAGACAAACACGUCGAGCAGGGUGGAAACACGGCCUUAGUGAUCCGACGGUGGAGAAUGGAAUCGCCGUCGCUAAAUGGAUAAAAGUUA
This 367-nucleotide ribosomal RNA is filed under the name uncultured organism. Its description in RNAcentral is "bacterial LSU rRNA". It matches the Rfam family "Bacterial large subunit ribosomal RNA", at positions 2099 to 2465 of the family's 2925-position model. The record is from RNAcentral.